CUAGAAAGGACCGUCAAACCCAACCAGUAGGGGGCAGCAGUCCGCAUUUGCAGAGUUCAGUCCGCCUAAAUGCAACAGAAAAGGAAGAAGGUAGAGGAAGAGGAGAGCACAGAAGAUAAACAGACAUGAAGAUGACGGAGGGCAACAGUCCUGUGGACUUAGAAAUAACAAUGGACGACGUUCAGAACCUCGUUAAAAAGAAAGAUAAUAUCGAGGAGCAGAUACAAGCUUAUUACGACGUCCUAGAAGACCAAGGUGUCGGAAUUGAAGGUCCGCUGGUUGACGCGGAGGGUUUCCCGAGAGCUGACGUCAAUAUAUACCAGAUCAGGACAGCGAGACACAGUAUUUCAUGCUUACAGAAUGAUCACAAGGCCAUCAUGGUAGAGAUAGAAGAAGCCCUGCACAAGCUCCACGCCCGAGAGAAAGCUAAGCGGGAGCAAGAUGAGGCGGAGGCCGGGGUGGAGGCGAUGGAGCAGCAGGUCACUCUGCCUCCUCCAUUUGCACGGGUGGAUGCCGUCACGCAAGGCUCACCGGCCUUUGGAGCUGGGCUCAAAAUUGGUGAUGGAGUCAUUGAGUUUGGUUCAGUGAACACAGGGAACUUUCAGAACCUCCAGAAUAUUGCUGCUGUGGUUCAACACAGUGAAGGGAAACCAUUACGUGUCUUAGUCGUCAGGGAUGGAGAGAGAGUCCAGAUGAGCCUGACUCCACAGCGAUGGUCUGGCAGAGGUCUGCUCGGUAAAGUUAACAGUAACUUUACCUCAGGCUCACGGUGAGCUUGCUGACCCCACCAUAUCGGAUUUACAUCCACAACGAUGACCAACAGAUUGACCUCUUCCUCUGCAGACAACAGUGACACAUUAAAGGACUCACAACGCCAAACGUACAAGAUACGACCUUACCUGAUGCCAUGAUCACAGCAGCAACACAAAGGAACACCGGAAAGCGAAAUAAAAGUUAUUGCCCUGGAGUUUUAUCUUCUGUUAGCCUCC
Solea solea (common sole) is the source of this 989-nucleotide RNA transcript. It is a transcript of the gene named proteasome 26S subunit, non-ATPase 9, with no coding region annotated. The transcript is spliced from 7 exons. NCBI's taxonomy places the organism in Eukaryota, Metazoa, Chordata, Actinopteri, Pleuronectiformes, Soleidae. The record is from RefSeq and is a predicted model, not a curated record.